AGUAAGAGAGCGAGUAAUGGGCGCUCAGAAGGCAGAGUCAUUCCAUCAACAUCUGAUGGCAGUACCUUCUGUUGUAGACCCUUGAUGGGCCGAGGCCACCAGCUAGCACAAAAGAUGGACAACAAACUCAAGAGGAGGUACAGAAGAGGAAUCUUAGGAUGAACUUGUGGAGCGUGAGCGCGCAACCACUUUUCAUCCUAGGAUAAGUCCUAUGUUGGUAAUACCUCUAGACCAGAUGGACCGAUGAGGAUAAGAUAGUUGUGCUUCCAGAACGACCAGGUGAAUCAGCAGCCGAUGGUUGUGGAGAAGAUGAUGGAGCCUUGUGGUGAGAGAAGAGGCUUGUCCAAGGAGAAAUUAUUGGAAAACGGGAAAAAGAAGAUUGAGAAUCUGCUCGACUCGAUUUUUUCUUGAUAUGUCAAAGUCUUACAUGCUUGGUACAUCUUUGGGAUGGUGUCUAAGGUAGUGUAACCAGACCAGUAUGCCCCUGAUGUGGCUUCAAGGCAGCCUUGUUUGCCAGAUCCCGGCGUCAUGCUUUUUUUGAUGGGAGUAUGUACUGAACAAGAUUAGUAGUGCCAGGGGCAUCCAUUGGUCAGGUGCAGCAGAAGGAUUCUUGUCUGUCAUGGGCAUCCAACGAUGAGAAGGUGAAAUGGAAGGUUAGGAAACUAAAGCCCAAGAAACUCAUUGGACAACAACGAACCUCAGGACAAGGUAGUGUGUUUCCAGUAACGCUACCACGCUACAUGUCCUUAUGCUCAGGCCUUCGUACAACACGGACGGGCAACCGAGGGGACGGCCCUAGUUUAAUGAUGUCUGGCUUCAUUGACGUGCUUCUACCAUUAGAAGCAAUAAAUCCUUGUUCUCCUAGGUUUGGUACGUCACAGAAAAGGAUGAAGAGAAAAAAGCAGAGCAGAUCGUUCCAAGUUGUACAAUCCUGCCAGUUCCAAGUCAGAUGGCGAACUUGAUGUGUAUGUUUCAAGGAUGAAGUACAGGCAGAAGUGUAUCUCUUACCUUACAGGAAGCAAGGAACAGCUUGAAAAUCUCCAUACCCCUUGAGCAAGAGAAAA
Molecule: long non-coding RNA, 1064 nt
Organism: Lolium rigidum
Lineage: Eukaryota; Viridiplantae; Streptophyta; Magnoliopsida; Poales; Poaceae
Exons: 7
Source: RefSeq, a predicted model, not a curated record